CCUACGGGUGGCAGCAGUGAGGAAUAUUGGUCAAUGGACGAGAGUCUGAACCAGCCAAGUAGCGUGAAGGAUGACUGCCCUAUGGGUUGUAAACUGCUUUUAUAUGGGAAUAAAAUGUGCCACGUGUGGGAUUUUGUAGGUACCAUAUGAAUAAGGAUCGGCUAAUUCCGUGCCAGCAGCCGCGGUAAUACGGAGGGUCCGAGCGUUAUCCGGAUUUAUUGGGUUUAAAGGGAGCGUAGGUGGAUUGUUAAGUCAGUUGUGAAAGUUUGCGGCUCAACCGUAACAUUGCAGUUGAAACUGGCAGUCUUGAGUACAGUAGAGGUGGGCGGAAUUCGUGGUGUAGCGGUGAAAUGCUUAGAUAUCACGAAGAACUCCGAUUGCGAAGGCAGCUCACCGGACUGCAACUGACACUGAGGCUCGAAGGUGUGGGUAUCGAACAGGAUUAGAUACCCGAGUAGUC
RNAcentral lists this ribosomal RNA (460 nucleotides) under uncultured bacterium. RNAcentral's name for it is "partial 16S ribosomal RNA". It matches the Rfam family "Bacterial small subunit ribosomal RNA", at positions 338 to 795 of the family's 1533-position model. The record is from RNAcentral.